GUCUCGGUGGUGUAGUGGUAGAGCAUGCGUCCCCGGAUAGGAUGAAAAGCGAGUUUGUUUCUCGCCUGAGGCC
Parelaphostrongylus tenuis is the source of this 73-nucleotide non-coding RNA. The record is from the annotation of a GenBank genome assembly. NCBI's taxonomy places the organism in Eukaryota, Metazoa, Nematoda, Chromadorea, Rhabditida, Metastrongylidae.